Molecule: unclassified non-coding RNA, 404 nt
Filed under: soil metagenome
Description: partial contains 5.8S ribosomal RNA, internal transcribed spacer 2, and large subunit ribosomal RNA
Rfam family: 5.8S ribosomal RNA (bases 1-122)
Source: RNAcentral
GAUGAAGAACGUAGUGAAAUGCGAUACUUGGUGUGAAUUGCAGAAUCCCGUGAACCAUCGAGUUUUUGAACGCAAGUUGCGCCCGAAGCCUUUUGGCCGAGGGCACGUCUGCCUGGGCGUCACGCAUCGCGUCGCCCCCCACAAUUCUCCGUAAAGGGAACAUGUGUUUUGGGGGCGGAUAUUGGUCUCCCGUGCUCAUGGCGUGGUUGGCCGAAAUAGGAGUCCUUUCGAUGGACGCACGAACUAGUGGUGGUCGUAAAAACCCUCGUCUUUUGUUUCGUGCUGUUGGUCGCAAGGUAAACUCUUUAAAAACCCCAAUGUGUCGUCUCUUGACGACGCUUCGACCGCGACCCCAGGUCAGGCGGGACUACCCGCUGAGUUUAAGCAUAUCAAUAAGCGGAGGA